ACAGAAUUUGCUGCAGUGACUGGCAUAUGUAUUUGGAGCUGUGAACCUCUUCUCUAAUAAACAGAAACUAUCUGCCAACAAAGAAAACAUGCAGAUGUCCUCUAAAGUUGUUCUCUGCUCGGAAUUAGAGGGCAGGUGGCAACAACGUUGAAGAGAGAUCUAGAAAAUUCUGUCACAUCACUGUCACCAAAGCAGGGCAGACUGACCAUAGGUUGAAUGAAUAUAUACAAUACAAACAAGAAGCUAGGCAUAGUGGGGCAUGCCUGCAUUGGCAGCUCUC
RNAcentral lists this long non-coding RNA (280 nucleotides) under Cricetulus griseus (Chinese hamster). Its description in RNAcentral is "lncRNA (ENSCGRG00000025721.1)". The record is from RNAcentral. Lineage: Eukaryota; Metazoa; Chordata; Mammalia; Rodentia; Cricetidae.